AAAGUUGUUGUGGUUAAAAAGCUCGUAGUUGAACCUUGGGCCUGGCUGGCCGGUCCCCCUCACCGGGUGCACUGAUCCAGCCGGGCCUUUCCCUCUGUGGAACCCCAUGGCCUUCACUGGCCGUGGCGGGGAAACAGGACUUUUACUUUGAAAAAAUUAGAGUGCUCCAGGCAGGCCUAUGCUCGAAUACAUUAGCAUGGAAUAAUAGAAUAGGACAUGUGGUUCUAUUUUGUUGGUUUCUAGGACCGCCUAAAAUCCUCCCCUUCCCUCUUAGAGUUAAUGAUGCUAUGAUAGCUAAGGUUCUAUAUAAGAAAUCCG
RNAcentral lists this non-coding RNA (318 nucleotides) under Scedosporium apiospermum. RNAcentral's name for it is "Eukaryotic small subunit ribosomal RNA". It matches the Rfam family "Eukaryotic small subunit ribosomal RNA", at positions 606 to 961 of the family's 1831-position model. Lineage: Eukaryota; Fungi; Ascomycota; Sordariomycetes; Microascales; Microascaceae. The record is from Rfam by way of RNAcentral.